GACGAACGCUGGCGGCGUGCUUAACACAUGCAAGUGGAGCGACGAACCGGACUUCGGUCCGGGGCAAAGCCGCGAACGGGUGAGUAACACGUGGGUAACCUGCCCCAAUGACCGGGACAACCCGAGGAAACUCGGGCUAAUACCGGAUGUGCCCACUUCCCAUCAGGGUUGUGAGGAAAGGAAGCUUCGGCCUCCGCAUUGGGAUGGGCCCGCGGCCCAUUAGCUUGUUGGUGGGGUAAUGGCCUACCAAGGCGACGAUGGGUAGCUGGUCUGAGAGGACGAUCAGCCACACUGGGACUGAGACACGGCCCAGACUCCUACGGGAGGCAGCAGUGGGGAAUCUUGCGCAAUGCGCGAAAGCGUGACGCAGCAACGCCGCGUGUGGGAAGACGGCCUUCGGGUUGUAAACCACUUUCAGUUGGGACGAAGCCUUGCUGGUUAAUAGCCAGUGGAGGUGACGGUACCUUCAGAAGAAGCCCCGGCUAACUACGUGCCAGCAGCCGCCGUAACAC
This 512-nucleotide ribosomal RNA is filed under the name uncultured bacterium. RNAcentral's name for it is "bacterial SSU rRNA". It matches the Rfam family "Bacterial small subunit ribosomal RNA", at positions 28 to 526 of the family's 1533-position model. The record is from RNAcentral.